RNAcentral lists this small RNA (117 nucleotides) under Marmota monax (woodchuck). The record is from RNAcentral. Lineage: Eukaryota; Metazoa; Chordata; Mammalia; Rodentia; Sciuridae.
GCCAGGUGCCAUGGUCCAUGCCUAUGGUCCCAGCUACUCAGGAGGCUGAGGCAGGAGGCUCACUUGAGCCCAGGAAUUCAGGGCCAGCUUGGACAACAUAGUAAGACCUGGUCUAAA